UACGAAGGGGGGCUAGCGUUGCUCGGAAUUACUGGGCGUAAAGGGCGCGUAGGCGGACAGUUUAGUCGGGGGUGAAAGCCCGGGGCUCAACCUCGGAAUUGCCUUCGAUACUGGCUGUCUUGAGUACGGGAGAGGUGUGUGGAACUCCGAGUGUAGAGGUGAAAUUCGUAGAUAUUCGCAAGAACACCAGUGGCGAAGGCGGCUCACUGGCCCGGUACUGACGCUGAGGUGCGAAAGCGUGGGGAGCAAACAGG
This 254-nucleotide ribosomal RNA is filed under the name uncultured bacterium. RNAcentral's name for it is "partial 16S ribosomal RNA". It matches the Rfam family "Bacterial small subunit ribosomal RNA", at positions 524 to 776 of the family's 1533-position model. The record is from RNAcentral.